CUCUUGAAUGUCCCCUCUCUAAUUUACGUUCCCUCUCACUUCAUUGCCUGCAGCAGAGCCCAUUAAUGGUGGCAGUUUGUGACACAACUGAAGGCUCCUCCAACAGGCGAUCCCACCGCGCUGACUUGGGCGGCAUUUGCUGACAUGGUGGGGCUCAGCUUCUCCCACUCUGCUUCCCAGGCUCCAGAGACUAAUCCUCCCUUUGGCUGGCUCUGCUGCUGCUAUGGCAAUAUUUUCUCCCCCAUCGUGGUAAUCACGCAAUGGUCUCUGAGAACAGCAGGAGAAGCAGUGCCUGGUAGAUGCAUAAAAGAGCUGAUAGAACGCUCAGAAUGAAGGCAGCUGAUGGCAGGGGGACCUUCAGCUUGUCCAGCCCGGCCCCAGCUCCCAGCCCUCUGCUGCACGUGGUGGGCUCAGAGCCCUCAGAGCCACAUCCUGCCUGGCCCCCUGCCCAUGCCAGCCUCGGGCCCUGCUCUGGCCAUGGCACUGCAGCCUCAGAACGGAAGUUCCUGGUGUUCCCGACCGGUGCUGGAAUGCUGCUUCCACCUCCAGGAAUGCAAAUGAACGGGGUUUGAUCCAAAUUGCAUUUCCUCUCCUAGUCUGGAGUAUGACGGCACAUUAAAACCUGUAAUAUUCCA
Molecule: long non-coding RNA, 635 nt
Organism: Pipra filicauda (Wire-tailed manakin)
Lineage: Eukaryota; Metazoa; Chordata; Aves; Passeriformes; Pipridae
Exons: 2
Source: RefSeq, a predicted model, not a curated record